Molecule: long non-coding RNA, 348 nt
Filed under: Rattus norvegicus (Norway rat)
Lineage: Eukaryota; Metazoa; Chordata; Mammalia; Rodentia; Muridae
Description: long non-coding RNA NONRATT013315
Source: RNAcentral
GACGCCGCAGGCAUGACUGGAGAGGGAGGUCCCAAUGGUGCUGCAGUGGCAGAAGGUGGCUCAUGAGUGAGAUCCAGAAGAACCACAGGGAAGACAUCCAUCAAGUGUGCGAGUCAAGUCCUGGGCAGAAACAUGAUAACCCUGAUCACUGAGCAGCUACAGAAGCAGACGCUGGAUGAGCUGAAAUGUACACGCUUCAGCCUCAGUCUGCCUUUGCCUGAUCAUGCAGACAUACCCAACUGUGGGGACCCUUUCCAGCUUGUGUCUGAAGGUGCUUCCUGGAGGGGCCUGCCCCACUGUUCCUGUGCUGAGUUCCAGGACAGCCUCAACUUCAGCUACCAUCCCUCA